RNAcentral lists this ribosomal RNA (228 nucleotides) under uncultured bacterium. RNAcentral's name for it is "partial 16S ribosomal RNA". It matches the Rfam family "Bacterial small subunit ribosomal RNA", at positions 103 to 334 of the family's 1533-position model. The record is from RNAcentral.
CGGGUGAGUAAUACAUCGGAACGUACCCAGUAGUGGGGGAUAGCUCGGCGAAAGCCGGAUUAAUACCGCAUACGACCUAUGGGUGAAAGCGGGGGAUCGCAAGACCUCGUGCUAUUGGAGCGGCCGAUGUCGGAUUAGCUUGUUGGUGAGGUAAAAGCUCACCAAGGCGACGAUCCGUAGCUGGUCUGAGAGGACGACCAGCCACACUGGGACUGAGACACGGCCCAG